GGGAAGUCGUGUAAAAUGCCAGCUCUAUAGAGAGGGCCUAAACCCUUGCAGGGCUCUUGCACCACACAGGAGGAGUAAUGGCUGCAUGCAACUCUUCCUUCCAGAUGCUGUACCGUGUGGAAGAUAUUCCUAAUAUCAUCAAGUUUUUCCACAGUUGCCUCGACCACCAGGGUAAACUCCUGAUCAUAAUUUUGGCAGACAUGCCGUUUUCCCACGCAGAAGGUCGGUCUUUGAGGUGACCACGAGAGGGCUGCAGCAGCCGGCGGAUCGGAUU
RNAcentral lists this long non-coding RNA (274 nucleotides) under Anas zonorhyncha (Eastern spot-billed duck). Its description in RNAcentral is "lncRNA (ENSAZOG00000011634.1)". The record is from RNAcentral. Lineage: Eukaryota; Metazoa; Chordata; Aves; Anseriformes; Anatidae.